This 484-nucleotide ribosomal RNA is filed under the name uncultured bacterium. RNAcentral's name for it is "partial 16S ribosomal RNA". It matches the Rfam family "Bacterial small subunit ribosomal RNA", at positions 30 to 507 of the family's 1533-position model. The record is from RNAcentral.
AUUGAACGCUGGCGGCAGGCCUAACACAUGCAAGUCGAGCGGUAGAGAGAAGCUUGCUUCUCUUGAGAGCGGCGGACGGGUGAGUAAUGCCUAGGAAUCUGCCUGGUAGUGGGGGAUAACGUUCGGAAACGGACGCUAAUACCGCAUACGUCCUACGGGAGAAAGCAGGGGACCUUCGGGCCUUGCGCUAUCAGAUGAGCCUAGGUCGGAUUAGCUAGUUGGUGAGGUAAUGGCUCACCAAGGCGACGAUCCGUAACUGGUCUGAGAGGAUGAUCAGUCACCCUUGAACUGUGACGCGGUCCUGCCUCCUACGGUAGCCAGCAGUGGCGAAUAUUUGACGAUGGUCCAAAGCUUGUUCCAACCAUGCCGCGUGUGUGAAGAAGUUCUUCGGAUUAUAAAGCACUUUAAGUUGGGAGGAAGGGUUGUAGAUUAAUACUCUGCAUUUUUGACGUUACCGACAUAAUAAGCACCGGCUAACUCUGUG